CUAAUUUACAUGUUGAUUUGUAUUAAUCUGAAGUGUUUCUAUAUUUACACUGGAAGAAGAAAAAUGUAUGAAGUAUGGCAAUUUAAAUCAACGUUUCAAUGCUGAUGUUUUAAUUUGAUGAUGAUGGUAAUGCUCGUUGGUUUACAUCGUGUUUAUCAUAACCUUUGGUUUUAACAGCUUCACGACGUUGUUAUUUGCGUAAACAUAUUGGUUUCCCCGUUAGCCUCACAAAAAAACCCAACCCAAUAAAAGUUUUUAUUUAAAGGGUUAUAAACC
Molecule: long non-coding RNA, 276 nt
Filed under: Mytilus galloprovincialis (Mediterranean mussel)
Lineage: Eukaryota; Metazoa; Mollusca; Bivalvia; Mytilida; Mytilidae
Source: RNAcentral